GGCAACAUGCCAGAGUGGUUAAUGGGUAAGACUCGAAUUUCCUUGUUCGAUAUAUCUUAUGGCUUCGGCCGCGUAGGUUCAAGUCCUGCUGUUGUCG
Molecule: transfer RNA, 97 nt
Organism: Sporothrix schenckii ATCC 58251
Lineage: Eukaryota; Fungi; Ascomycota; Sordariomycetes; Ophiostomatales; Ophiostomataceae
Rfam family: tRNA
About the family: Transfer RNA (tRNA) molecules are approximately 80 nucleotides in length. Their secondary structure includes four short double-helical elements and three loops (D, anti-codon, and T loops). Further hydrogen bonds mediate the characteristic L-shaped molecular structure. tRNAs have two regions of fundamental functional importance: the anti-codon, which is responsible for specific mRNA codon recognition, and the 3' end, to which the tRNAs corresponding amino acid is attached (by aminoacyl-tRNA synthetases). tRNAs cope with the degeneracy of the genetic code in two manners: having more than one tRNA (with a specific anti-codon) for a particular amino acid; and 'wobble' base-pairing, i.e. permitting non-standard base-pairing at the 3rd anti-codon position.
Source: Rfam